UGUGAGUGUGUGUCUGUGAGUGUGUGAGUAUGUGUGUCAGUGUGUGUGUGAGUGUGUGAGUGUGUGUCUGUGAGUGUGUGUGUCAGUGAGUGUGUGAGUAUGUGUGUGUGUGUGUCAGUGUGUGUCUGUGAGUGUGUGAGUAUGUGUCUGAGUGUGUGAGUAUGUGUCUGUGAGUGUGUGUGUCAGUGAGUGUGUGAGUAUGUGUCAGUGUGUGUCUGUGAGUGUGUGAGUAUGUGUGUGUGAGUGUGUGUCUGUGUGUGUCUGUGAGUGUGUGAGUAUGUGUCUGUGAGUGUGUGUGUCAGUGAGUG
Non-coding RNA from Pelobates cultripes (western spadefoot toad), 308 nucleotides. The record is from the annotation of a GenBank genome assembly. Lineage: Eukaryota; Metazoa; Chordata; Amphibia; Anura; Pelobatidae.